This 440-nucleotide ribosomal RNA is filed under the name uncultured bacterium. RNAcentral describes it as "partial 16S ribosomal RNA". It matches the Rfam family "Bacterial small subunit ribosomal RNA", at positions 338 to 795 of the family's 1533-position model. The record is from RNAcentral.
CCUACUGGAGACAUCAUUGGGGAGUAUUGCACAAUGGGGGAAACCCUGAUGCAUCCCCCUCUCUUUCUGUCUUCCUUCCUUCUUUUUUUCCCUCUCUUUCUUCCUUUCCGAUAAUGACGGUACCUGAGGAGGAAGCCACGGCUAACUACGUGCCAGCAGCCGCGGUAAUACGUAGGUGGCGAGUGUUGUCCGGAUUUACUGGGCGUAAAGGGAGCGUAGGCGGACUUUUAAGUGAGAUGUGAAAUACUCGGGCUCAACUUGAGUGCUGCAUUUCAAACUGGAAGUCUAGAGUGCAGGAGAGGAGAAUGGAAUUCCUAGUGUAGCGGUGAAAUGCGUAGAGAUUAGGAAGAACACCAGUGGCGAAGGCGAUUCUCUGGACUGUAACUGACGCUGAGGCUCGAAAGCGUGGGGAGCAAACAGGAUUAGAUACCCUAGUAGUC